AAAGUUCUGUGACACUUAGACUCUGAAUAUGAAAGCAGUCAGUGCACUACAGAACUUUGU
RNAcentral lists this microRNA precursor (60 nucleotides) under Xenopus laevis (African clawed frog). Its description in RNAcentral is "Xla-Mir-148-P1b_pre stem-loop". It matches the Rfam family "mir-148/mir-152 microRNA precursor family", at positions 8 to 68 of the family's 74-position model. From Rfam's summary of the family: The hairpin precursors (represented here) are predicted based on base pairing and cross-species conservation -- their extents are not known. In this case the mature sequence is excised from the 3' arm of the hairpin. The record is from RNAcentral. Lineage: Eukaryota; Metazoa; Chordata; Amphibia; Anura; Pipidae.